RNAcentral lists this ribosomal RNA (431 nucleotides) under uncultured bacterium. RNAcentral describes it as "partial 16S ribosomal RNA". It matches the Rfam family "Bacterial small subunit ribosomal RNA", at positions 29 to 507 of the family's 1533-position model. The record is from RNAcentral.
AACGAACGCUGGCGGCAGGCCUAACACAUGCAAGUCGAGCGCCCUUUCGGGGGAGCGGCGGACGGGUGAGUAACGCGUGGGAAUAUGCCCUUCUCUACGGAAUAGCCUCGGGAAACUGAGAGUAAUACCGUAUACGCCCUGUGGGGGGAAGAUUUAUCGGGGAAGGAUUAGCCCGCGUUGGAUUAGGUAGUUGGUGGGGUAAUGGCCUACCAAGCCGACGAUCCAUAGCUGGUUUGAGAGGAUGAUCAGCCACACUGGGACUGAGACACGGCCCAGACUCCUACGGGAGGCAGCAGUGGGGAAUCUUAGACAAUGGGGGCAACCCUGAUCUAGCCAUGCCGCGUGAGUGAUGAAGGCCUUAGGGUUGUAAAGCUCUUUCAGCUGGGAAGAUAAUGACGGUACCAGCAGAAGAAGCCCCGGCUAACUCCGUG